Molecule: non-coding RNA, 1630 nt
Organism: Xyrichtys novacula (pearly razorfish)
Lineage: Eukaryota; Metazoa; Chordata; Actinopteri; Labriformes; Labridae
Source: the annotation of a GenBank genome assembly
GUUGACUACACAGACAUAAGAGAACACAGCGAUCUCGUUAUUUUACCAAAUGUCAUCAAUAACUGAUAAUAUUGACUGAUAUUAAAAGCUUUUUUGUAUAUAAACCACAAAAAAAGAUGCUUCUUUUUUAAUGAAAUCUUGCCUACCCCACCUUUAACCGAAAAAUAGGUUAUUACGAUUCCAGAGACAUUGAACAGAAAACACCUGACAACUUUUGCCUGUGAGUAUAAAAAGAAGCAGAAAUGACUGACAUAUAUGGUAACCUGGUUUCUCUUCCGUUUUGAUUUGCUCACUAGUUUUUUCUGAGAGGAAAUCUUCAUCAGUAAUCGUAUGUAACACACUGCGGUAUAAAAACUACAUCAAACAGAGCCGCGUCUUCUCCGCUGUUCCUCCUUUUAAACAAGAUCCAGCAGAUUAAAGAGCGACUCUGAAGCUGAGGAGGUUGAGGAUGGCAGGUUGGAGGUAAAAAAAAAAAAAAAACAGGUUUGAAUAUUAAAUUUGGCUUUUAUCACAUUGUUGCAGAUACCUGUGUGAUGUGUGAGAGAUGAGGCUCCUCUCCGCUGAGUGUCAAGUGUCAGAGUGAAUUUCUGUGUGAGCAGAGGAAACACAGAAAGGCAGUUUGAUCUCGACAAAGUGCAAUUAGUGUCAAAACAGCUCAGGGUGGAGGGGAGAUGGUUCCUGCUGAUCUGAGGGUGAUGACAGGGUGGAGGCGGGGGGACUGGGGUGUACCUGCAUGAUGAAAUGAGCUCACUGGAUUGAAAUACAGCAAUCCAAGGUGUUUGUGUCUUUGCACAGGUAAGUAUAGGGAGGUAAUGGAAAUCAUCUGAUCUUUCCCCAUCUCUCUGUGGCAAUACAGGCUUUUUCUCCGUCUGAGCUGUUGGUUGAAACUGGAAUUUAAGGUGCAUCAUUCCCCGGCAAACAUCCACUAUAUCUAUCACUCAGAUUGAUGACUGCCUCAGUGGAAGAUCUGCAGCCUCUCAGUUCCUAACCUCAUUAUCUAUGCAGUGAUCUGAGUGGGCGGGAUGUUUCAGUAAUGAGGCACUGCUCUGAUUGGCUGAGACGGGGCUGCAGUCCAGUGCAGAUAAAUGCAAAGGUGUCUGCAGAGAAGUAUGACAGUCAAGGUGGUACCGCAUUAGGAACAGGCACGACUCUGGAGUGGAAAUCACCACAUGGGCUCGAAAGCACCUUUAUAAAUAAUAGGUGUAGGAGCCAUAAUGUUGCUUAGCUUAUCGGUUAUCCUGUGUUGAAUUACUUAAGUCUGGUUGUCAUUGGUUUCGCUGAAAUUUUUGUUGACCAUGCUUUAUGUUCUUUGUUUUGCAGUGAUUCAUGUCGCAAAGUGAACACAUAUUACAUCGGAUGUGCGCGUCACUGUGGAAGCGUUUGUUGUGUUAUUAAAGCUCUGAAAACUGGGUGCUUCUUUGAGACAGCAGCGGCGCGUCACACAGAUAUACAGGACCUAGUCUCUGCCUCAGUUGACUUUUUUAAAGGUUUUAGGAAAGCCGCAAUAUCCCACCCUCGUUGUACAACUGGAGCGCAGCAUAAGCUCCGCCUGCUGUUCCGGAGUGGAUCUGCAUGCGGUGGAAUCCCUGGGUGACAGUCAAGGUGGCACCGAAUUAGGAACAGGCAUGAC